This 301-nucleotide ribosomal RNA is filed under the name uncultured bacterium. RNAcentral's name for it is "partial 16S ribosomal RNA". It matches the Rfam family "Bacterial small subunit ribosomal RNA", at positions 509 to 809 of the family's 1533-position model. The record is from RNAcentral.
CAGCAGCCGCGGGAACACGAAGGGUGCAAGCGUUACUCGGAAUUACUGGGCGUAAAGCGUGCGUAGGUGGUGGUUUAAGUCCGUUGUGAAAGCCCUGGGCUCAACCUGGGAAUUGCAGUGGAUACUGGGUCACUAGAGUGUGGUAGAGGAUAGUGGAAUUUCCGGUGUAGCAGUGAAAUGCGUAGAGAUCGGAAGGAACAUCUGUGGCGAAGGCGACUAUCUGGGCCAACACUGACACUGAGGCACGAAAGCGUGGGGAGCAAACAGGAUUAGAUACCCGUGUAGUCCCUGUCUCUUAUAA